CCAGAGGACCCCUAAACUCUGUUUCUAUAUGUAACUUCUGAGUAAAACCAUAAAUAAAUCAAAACUUUCAACAACGGAUCUCUUGGUUCUGGCAUCGAUGAAGAACGCAGCAAAAUGCGAUAAGUAAUGUGAAUUGCAGAAUUCAGUGAAUCAUCGAAUCUUUGAACGCACAUUGCGCCCGCCAGUAUUCUGGCGGGCAUGCCUGUUCGAGCGUCAUUUCAACCCUCAAGCACAGCUUGGUGUUGGGACUCGCGUUAAUUCGCGUUCCCCAAAUUGAUUGGCGGUCACGUCGAGCUUCCAUAGCGUAGUAGUAAAACCCUCGUUACUGGUAAUCGUCGCGGCCACGCCGUUAAACCCCAACUUCUGAAUGUUGACCUCGGAUCAGGUAGGAAUACCCGCUGAACUUAAGCAUAUCAAUAGCCGGAGGAAAAUUUGUUAAAU
RNAcentral lists this ribosomal RNA (441 nucleotides) under Fusarium oxysporum. Its description in RNAcentral is "eukaryotic LSU rRNA". The stretch from base 63 to 216 matches the Rfam family "5.8S ribosomal RNA". Lineage: Eukaryota; Fungi; Ascomycota; Sordariomycetes; Hypocreales; Nectriaceae. The record is from RNAcentral.